UUUGAGUGACCUUGGUGACCUUUGGUGGGUUUUGGGUUGACCUUUGGGUGACCUCGUUUGACGUUGGGUGGGCGUGGCCUUGACCAUGGGUUGGUCUUGGCCAUUGGUUGGUUCUUCUUGACCUUGGGUUGGUUUUGGCUUUGGCCAUGGGUUGGUCUUGACCUUGGGUUGACCUUGGGUUGGUCUUGCUGUUGAUUUGCUUGAUCUUGAUGUGAGUUGGUCUUGACUUUGAGUUGACUUUGGCCAUUGGUUGGUCUUGACCUUGGGUUGGUCUUGAUCAUCGGUUGGUUCUUCUUGACCUUGGGUUGGUUUUGACUUUGGCCAUGGAUUGGUCUUGACUUUGAGUUGGCCUUGGGUUGGUCUUCACCAUGAGUUGGUCUUGACUUUGGGUUGACUUUGGUCAUUGGUUGGUCUUGACCUUGGGUUGGCCUUGGAUUGGUCUCGACAUUGGGUCGGUCUUGACUUUGGGUUCGUCUUGACCUUGGGUUGGUUUUGACUUUGGGUUGACUUUGGCCAUUGGUUGGUCUUGAUCUUGAGUUGCUUGAUCUUGACAUGAGUUGGCCUUGACUUUGGUCAUAGGUUGGUCUUGACUUUGAGUUGGUUUUUGGGUUGGUCUUGGCCAUGAGUUGGUCUUGACCUUGGGUUGACUUUGGCCAUUGGUUGGUCUCGACUUUGGGUCAGUCUUGACUUUGGGUUCAUCUUGGCCUUGAGUUGGUUUUGGCUUUGGGUUGGUCUUGACGUUGAGUUGCUUGAUCUUGACGUGAGUAGGCCUUGACUUUGGCCAUGGGUUGGUCUUGAUGUUGGGUUGGCCUUGGAUUGGUCUCGACAUUGGGUCGGUCUUGACUUUGGGUUCAUCUUGACCUUGGGUUGGUCUUGGUCAUGGAUUGGUCUUGACUUUGGCCAUUGGUUGGUCUUGACCUUGAGUCGGUUUUGACUUUGGGUUGGUCUUGACCUUGGGUCGGUCUCGACUUUGGGUUGGUUGAUCUUGACCAUGAGUUGGUCUUGAUUUUGGGUUGGUUUUGACCUUGAGUUGGUCUUGGCCAUUGGUUGGUCUUGACUUUGAGUUCGUUUUGACCUUGGGUUGGUUGGUCUUGACUUUUGGUUGGUCAUGGCCAUGGCUUGGUCUUGACUUUGGGUUGGUUGAUCUUGACCAUGGGUUGGUCUUGACUUUGAGUUUGUUUUGACCUUGGAUUGGUCUUGAGUUUGUCUUGGUUUUUGGGUUGGUCUCGGCCAUGGCUUGGUCUUGACUUGAGUUUGGUCUCAGGAUUGGUCUCAACCAUGGCUUGAUCUUGACCAUUGGUUGGUUGACCUUGACUUGACAUGGCCUCGACCUGGGCUGACCGUUGGUCUUGGUUCUGCUGACCAUUGAUGGAGAU
Molecule: long non-coding RNA, 1376 nt
Filed under: Zonotrichia albicollis (white-throated sparrow)
Lineage: Eukaryota; Metazoa; Chordata; Aves; Passeriformes; Passerellidae
Description: lncRNA (ENSZALG00000009307.1)
Source: RNAcentral